Molecule: ribosomal RNA, 117 nt
Filed under: Acidobacteriota bacterium
Lineage: Bacteria; Pseudomonadati; Acidobacteriota
Also listed under: 1 other name
Source: RNAcentral
CCCGGCGACCAUAGCGGAGGGGUCACACCCGUUCCCAUUCCGAACACGGUCGUUAAGCCCUCCAGCGCCGAUGGUACUGCGCUGGCAACGGCGUGGAAGAGUAGGACAUCGCCGGGA